Octodon degus (degu) is the source of this 107-nucleotide small nuclear RNA. The record is from Ensembl. Lineage: Eukaryota; Metazoa; Chordata; Mammalia; Rodentia; Octodontidae.
GUGCUCAUUUCGGCAGCAUAUAUACAAAGAGUGGAACGAUACAGAGAAGAUUAGCAUGGCCCCUGCACAAGGGUGACACACAAAUUUGUGAUGUGUUCCAUAUUUUU